RNAcentral lists this ribosomal RNA (253 nucleotides) under uncultured bacterium. RNAcentral describes it as "partial 16S ribosomal RNA". It matches the Rfam family "Bacterial small subunit ribosomal RNA", at positions 524 to 776 of the family's 1533-position model. The record is from RNAcentral.
UACAGAGGUGGCAAGCGUUGUUCGGAAUUACUGGGCGUAAAGGGCGCGUAGGCGGCCCUCUUAGUCGGACGUGAAAUCCCCAGGCUCAACUUGGGAACUGCGUCCGAUACUGGAGGGCUCGAGUGCGGGAGAGGGAUGUGGAAUUCCAGGUGUAGCGGUGAAAUGCGUAGAUAUCUGGAGGAACACCGGUGGCGAAGGCGGCAUCCUGGACCGACACUGACGCUGAUGCGCGAAAGCCAGGGGAGCGAACGGG